This 350-nucleotide long non-coding RNA is filed under the name Cricetulus griseus (Chinese hamster). RNAcentral's name for it is "lncRNA (ENSCGRG00015041486.1)". Lineage: Eukaryota; Metazoa; Chordata; Mammalia; Rodentia; Cricetidae. The record is from RNAcentral.
CCACACCUUAGGAAGAUGCACAGAGCGACACCGGUGCAGAGCAGCAGUGGGGCUUAGAAGGGACUAGUAUCUGGAAGGUCAGUGUCAAGACACCCUGAUGAAGAAAGGACCAGCUGAAGUUUGCACAGAAGAAUCUUGGGUCUGGGGAUGAUGGCUGAGUUCUCUGGAGCCUCAGGAGUCUUGGAUGAGAGUGCAGGGAGGAGAAAGACGCCCAUCCUGUGUUAGAGUCCUGCUGAUUACUGGAGACUGUUGAGCCAACCUACUAAAGAAGCAUCCGGCAUGGACAGCUGGACAAGAAAACAAACCCCAAAUCUGAGCCAAUUAUGUGUGUAAAUAAAACAGCACCGGAC